AAGGGCUUCAUCAACAAGCUGUAUGCCAUCCAGGAUGUGUGCAUCAGUGUGCAAAAUGCCCUGGAUGAAGUGGCAUCCUAUGGCGAAAGGAUAAAGAACACCUUUAACUGGACAGUGCCUUUCCUAAGCUGGCUGGCCAUCGUAGCUCUAUGUGUGGCAACUGUUCUCAUCUACUAUAUCCCCCUACGGUACAUCGUCCUGGCCUGGGGGGUGAAUAAAUUCAGCAAGAAGCUCCGUGACCCGUAUACCAUUGACAACAACGAACUCUUGGACUUCCUGUCCAGAGUCCCCUCAGAUGUUCAAGUGGUGCAGUACCGAGAGCUGAAAGUGGAUCCCAGUCAUAGUCCAAAUAAAAGAAAGAAAAACAACCCGGGAUAACUGGCUCUGCCCGCCCACUGAAUCUUCCCUCCCUCACCCGUCCGACGCCAAGAAGCAGAGAAACACUGCUUUGAACCAGCUGAACUCUCUCUCUGUCUCUCUCUUUCUCUCUGUCUCUCUCUCUCUUCUACUGACUUAGAAAAUAUAUAUACAUGUACAGGCUCUCGAAGUGUAAUUAUUACAAAGAGACAACAAAGAGAUGAGUUUGGAUGAAAUAGCAGACUAUUUCAGACCCAGGUGUUUACUGAACCAGUCUGACAGAUGUCCAUGUCAUGCCGUCCUCGUAAUGUUCAACUAUGAGUAUCACAGUUAUGAGUUCAUUCAACUGAGGUUUCAGAGAUUUCUCCAUAAUAACUCCAUUAGGAACAUAUAAUUGAACCAUCCCAAAGCUACUUACUAGGGCUGGGAACUGCCAGGGACCUCACAAUGCCUUCAGAAAGAAUUCACUCCCUUUGACUUUUUCCACAUUUAGUUGU
Molecule: non-coding RNA, 854 nt
Organism: Salvelinus sp. IW2-2015
Lineage: Eukaryota; Metazoa; Chordata; Actinopteri; Salmoniformes; Salmonidae
Source: RefSeq, a predicted model, not a curated record